CAGUCGCCGCGGUAAUACGGAGGGGGCUAGCGUUGUUUGGAAUUACUGGGCGUAAAGCGCACGUAGGCGGCUUGGUAAGACAGAUGUGAAAUCCCCGGGCUUAACCUGGGAACUGCAUUUGUGACUGGCGGGCUAGAGUAUGGCAGAGGGGGGUGGAAUUCCACGUGUAGCAGUGAAAUGCGUAGAGAUGUGGAGGAACACCGAUGGCGAAGGCAGCCCCCUGGGCCAAUACUGACGCUCAUGCACGAAAGCGUGGGGAGCAAACAGGAUUAGAUACCCUUGUAGUCCCUGUCUCUUAUAC
Molecule: ribosomal RNA, 301 nt
Filed under: uncultured bacterium
Lineage: Bacteria
Description: partial 16S ribosomal RNA
Rfam family: Bacterial small subunit ribosomal RNA
Source: RNAcentral